UACGUAGGGGGCAAGCGUUGUCCGGAAUCAUUGGGCGUAAAGCGCGUGUAGGCGGCUCGGUAAGUCUGCUCUGAAAGCCUGGGGCUCAACCCUGGGAGGCGGGUGGAUACUGCUGAGCUCGAGUCCGGAAGAGGCAAGUGGAAUUCCUGGUGUAGCGGUGGAAUGCGCAGAUAUCAGGAGGAACACCAAUAGCGAAGGCAGCUUGCUGGGACGGUACUGACGCUAAGGCGCGAAAGCGUGGGGAGCGAACAGG
This 253-nucleotide ribosomal RNA is filed under the name uncultured bacterium. RNAcentral's name for it is "partial 16S ribosomal RNA". It matches the Rfam family "Bacterial small subunit ribosomal RNA", at positions 524 to 776 of the family's 1533-position model. The record is from RNAcentral.